ACACUAGAAAAGAUAAUUUUAACUUAAAAUUUAAAUUUAAUUUUAAUGAAAAGUUUAAAAUUUGAUUUUUAGACGAUAAGACCCUAUGAAGCUUUAUUAUCAUUAAUUUUUUUGGGGAAAACCAUAAUUUAUUUAUUAAUACUUAGGCGUGUGCAGAUCUUUAAGAAUUAUAAGAAUAAGCUACUCUAGGGAUAACAGCAUAAUUUUUAUUAAAGUUCUUAUUGAAAUAAAAGAUUGUGACCUCGAUGUUGAAUUAAGAAAUAUAAUUUGUGCAGCAGCUAAUUAUAUCUAGUCUGUUCGACUAUAUUAUCUUACAUGAUCUGAGUUCCAAACCGGA
Molecule: ribosomal RNA, 337 nt
Filed under: Hemidiaptomus ingens
Lineage: Eukaryota; Metazoa; Arthropoda; Copepoda; Calanoida; Diaptomidae
Description: partial 16S ribosomal RNA
Rfam family: Archaeal large subunit ribosomal RNA (bases 72-337)
Source: RNAcentral